This 423-nucleotide long non-coding RNA is filed under the name Zostera marina. RNAcentral describes it as "long non-coding RNA (ZMAR_LNC005266)". Lineage: Eukaryota; Viridiplantae; Streptophyta; Magnoliopsida; Alismatales; Zosteraceae. The record is from RNAcentral.
UGUGCUCGAUUAGUCAGCAUUGAAUCAAAAUCCGAAUUGUUCGAGAAAACUUUUACAUUGUCGACUUUUACAUUAAAAUUUCAGAAUAACAUAAUGAUUGUUAUAUAAAUAGAAGCUUUUUACUUGGCAUCAGUGGUGAUAGUUGAGGUCAAAUCCUCUUCAAUAACUCAGUAGUAGGGUGUCCAGUGAUCUAUUUAAAGGGUCUCACUGAGGUUAGUUUUGUUUAUCUUGAUAGUUACCUGGUUAUAUCAGUUACAGAUCUACAGAUUUUUAGUAGAAGCGACCCUCAUCGACUUCGAUUGGGGAAGACAGCAGACGAGUGCUGAGAGUCAUCGGAUGAUGCCUUCAUGGUGAAAAAACUUGACAAAAAGUCAACAGAAUAAAUUCUCAAAAUUAAAUUAAAUUGAUUUGUUUUCAUUUUAG